AUGUCAUCCCUGAUAUAUGAGCUUGUGCACUUCCUUAGAAAAUUUGUUAUGAUCUUUCUUGAUGGCAUAUUCAUACAUCAUCAUCAAAUUUCCCAACAUCAAUUGCAUGAUCACAUACUCACAUUGAGCACCAAUUACAAUGUUCAUGCUUUUGAUACACCAUCCCGUUAUGAGAUCAUUUUGCACAAUGUUUGCAUUAAUCGCAUUCACCACACCUUUGUGCAUGCUAAAACUGCUUUUGUUCCCAUGAAUGCUUUGCAUAUCAUUCAAGAUCAUCUUGAUAAGCUUCAUGCGCUUUCUCACAAACAAUCUUGCCGAAUGGACUCAUACUUGAUGGUCACUUUGUGCGGGCUAACCAUUGUAUUUCCGAGUGUCAUUUGUGUUUUCUCUUUUUGCAUGAAUACCACUCUGGGGACACCUUGGAGUACUUGGAUAGCACCAUGUCUUCAACUUCGUCCAACUACAAGUCCGUCCAUGACAACCGUUUCCAUGGUGACGAGGAUCAUGAUCCGAGGUUGGAUCUUUCCCAAGGGGGGAGAUGAUGCGGAGCAUCCUACGUUCAGCCCCAUGUACACUUCGACUACUCUCCAAGCCCCAAGAGGACAUAUGAUGAGACAUCGAACAUACGCCAUUGGACACAAGGUGAACUCGCUCCUCUCUGAACCGUCACUUUCCACAUGUGAGAUAUGGCUACUACCUCCAACGUGUGUGCUAUGCAUGACCAGGAACCAAGAGGAAGGCCAUGGAACAACUACGAGCAUUGGACAAGACGACGAGGACACCAAGCGCGAGGAACAAGAGGAACAACUGCCAGGAUGCUACAACUCUCGGACGUCCGACGACCUCCGGACGACCAACGAUCUCCGGACGUCCGACGCCUGGAGACUCCACCAGCUAGAUCGACUCCAGCCGAGGCAUCCUACAGUGCACGGACGACCGCCAGACACCGGACGUCCGACACUCAUCAGCGCCCGGACGUCUGACACCGACCGAACAUCCGACACUUCCAGACCAGAGCCAAAACAUCGGAAGUUCGAAGACUUCCGGACGACCAGACGCCCAUGA
Molecule: ribosomal RNA, 1065 nt
Filed under: Triticum aestivum (bread wheat)
Lineage: Eukaryota; Viridiplantae; Streptophyta; Magnoliopsida; Poales; Poaceae
Description: partial small subunit ribosomal RNA
Source: RNAcentral